GAACAUAAGAGUUUGAUCCUGGCUCAGAUUGAACGCUGGCGGCAUGCUUUACACAUGCAAGUCGGACGGCAGCACGAGUACUUGUACUUGGUGGCGAGUG
RNAcentral lists this ribosomal RNA (100 nucleotides) under Kingella kingae. RNAcentral's name for it is "partial 16S ribosomal RNA". It matches the Rfam family "Bacterial small subunit ribosomal RNA", at positions 1 to 97 of the family's 1533-position model. The record is from RNAcentral. Lineage: Bacteria; Pseudomonadati; Pseudomonadota; Betaproteobacteria; Neisseriales; Neisseriaceae.